This 2154-nucleotide long non-coding RNA is filed under the name Macaca fascicularis (crab-eating macaque). Its description in RNAcentral is "lncRNA (ENSMFAG00000063551.1)". The record is from RNAcentral. Lineage: Eukaryota; Metazoa; Chordata; Mammalia; Primates; Cercopithecidae.
UUUUUUUUUUUUUUUUUGUAGAGAGGGGGACUCACUAUGUUACCCAGGCUGGUCUCAAACUCCUGGGCAAGCAAUCUGCCUGCCGCGGCCUCCAAAGUGCUGGGAUUACAGGUGUGAGCCACUGUACCCGCCUCCUUGAAGAAGCUGUAACCACAAAGUGCUUAUCUUUGCAUUUCAUAAUGCUGGGACAGACGGAAAACAGACAAGUUAGAGAGAGUGGGACUGCAGGAGGUGGUUCAGGCAGGAAAUAAGGAGCCUGGGACAGUGGGAACAGCCAGAGGCUGGAGGGAGGCCUCAUCCAUGCUGAGGGUGAGAUCUUUUGGGUCCUGACCCUCUCACAGGACACUCAGGAUCUGCUGGCCCAGGGAGACUCACUAGCUCUCCUGGACUGUGCCUCUUCUCUGGGGGCAGGAAAGCCCUAGCCGCUCCUUCUGACUGCCUCUUUCUGCUGCCUCCCAGCUGGGUUAGUCCCUGGCUGCUGAUCUCUCAGACCCUCUUGAUCCCUACUCCCUCCACCCCAGUGCCCAAGGGACUGUGCUGUACAGCCUUUGUUCCCCUCCACCAUAGUGAGUGUCUGCAAGGUGAAAACUCCUGAGGCACAGUACCCAUUUCCACGAGGAGCCACUCCCAGCCCCUGGCUGCCCAGGCCUCUGGCUGCUGAGGUCCCUGCCCAGACAUGCAAGACUCUUUUCUGUUUUUUCACCCUCCUCCCAAGGCUGCUAGCCAUGGCUCCCACCUGUCCCCUGCGCUGAGCUGGGCCUCCCGAUUUGGCCAGGGUGAGCACAACUGAGCCUGGAUGUGGUGAUGUGGGGAUGCCGUGUGGCUGGGUCCCAGCUGACGGGGUGCAACGGGAACUGUGGUGAAGAGGGUGCCCAGAGCGGGUGCUCAAGGUAGCAUGGGAGAGGGCUGUCAUCAGAUACCGUAAAUAAUACAGGAAUCAAAGUUCAGAGAGGCCACCUGGCCUCUUCACCAUGUGCAGAUCCCAGGGGCUCACUGGGAAGGAUACAGCUGGGGACUGUUAAAGGCAAGACCCUCGAUCUCCAGGAGCCGCUAGUCCAAAGGUAGAGAGCAGAUGUUCUGCUGGGCAUGACCAUUCCAGAGAAGAGGCACAGAGCUGCAAACUGCUAGAACUGGAAGGACCCCUGGGCUGUACCAGGCCUGGGGACACAGCUUAAAGUUAAGUUCAAAGUCCAGCCAGAAGAGGUAAACACAGCUGGGGCCCCAUGUGAUAAAGUCUCUGGCAGAAGUCUGGAGUGCAGUGAGGCCCGAGUUAGCGUUCAAAAAUGGGCCUUGCCUUCCAUUCACAGUUGUCCUCAAACAUCGCAGGCUGUGGCUCUCAUUAACCUUCUGGAAGCGGGGGAUUCCGAAUACCUAGACUCUGAGUCUGAAUGGCCUCAAGGGUUUUCAAGAAAUGAUUUAAGGACAAGCUCUGUGAGUAUGAUUGCAUCAUCCAGAAAUGUACCAGAAUACUGAUUUAGUAUUGUUUUUCCUUGUUCGGAAUUUCAAAACUUGAAUUUCCUGCUUUACUUCACUUCAGGGGGAAUCCCAGACAUUUAAAGCAUGAGCUCUUCACUUAAAAUACCACGUAACCGAUUCUCUCCCAAUCCUCAUCUAUGUCUCCAGCCCUGAGGUUUUCCUUUGCUGAAAUCAGUCUGUGGAACGGUUUGGGGUCUGCCUUUUCACAUAGCGUUCCCGCACACACACAUUAAACACACUUAUUAAACACACUUACUGUAUUUAACGGCCACGCGGGGUUCCGUCAUGUGCCCUGUCCUAGUUUUCAGCUUGUGUUUCAGCCAGUGACUCUAUGGCUUUGGGUAAGCCUAACCUUCUUCUGAGGCUACAGAUAAGCCUCACCUUAUCUGUAAAACACGAUGAUUUGGAAGCUCUAACGUCCUUUCCAAGCCUUAAAAUUUGUGGGGGGUCUAUGAUUUCCUAGCUGUAGAUCCUAAAUUGUGACCACACAAUAACAAUCCCUAGAAGGGAAAGAGACUCAACAUCUAUUGAAAAUUCCCCAUACGGCGGGAAGGCACUGAGCAGGAGAUAGGUAGGAAAAGUGACACCGCGGCUUGCCAGCAAAAACACCAUCAGAGGCCCCGCUAGGUGAUCUCAGACCCCUUUGUUCCCAGUCCGGCCUCUGGUCUUUGUCCCAUU